This 649-nucleotide ribosomal RNA is filed under the name uncultured bacterium. RNAcentral's name for it is "bacterial SSU rRNA". It matches the Rfam family "Bacterial small subunit ribosomal RNA", at positions 8 to 694 of the family's 1533-position model. The record is from RNAcentral.
AGAGUUUGAUCCUGGCUCAGGAUGAACGCUGGCGGUAUGCCUAACACAUGCAAGUCGUACGAGAGUUUUUAACUCUAGUGGCGGACGGGUGAGUAACACGUGAGAAUUUGCCUUUAGGAGGGGGUUAACAAUUGGAAACGAAUGCUAAUACCCCAUAUGCUUUCGAGUGAAAUGAAUUUUUUAUUUGCCUAAAGAGAAGCUCGCGGCUGAUUAGCUUGUUGGUAAGGUAAGAGCUUACCAAGGCGACGAUCAGUAUCUGGUUUGAGAGGACGAUCAGACACACUGGAACUGAGACACGGUCCAGACUCCUACGGGAGGCAGCAGUGGGGAAUUUUCCGCAAUGGGCGAAAGCCUGACGGAGCAAUACCGCGUGAGGGAAGAAUGCCUAUGGGUUGUAAACCUCUUUUUUCAGGGAGGAAUAAAUGACGUGUACCUGAAGAAUAAGCAUCGGCUAACUCCGUGCCAGCAGCCGCGGUAAGACGGAGGAUGCAAGUGUUAUCCGGAAUCACUGGGCGUAAAGCGUCUGUAGGUGGUUUAAUAAGUCAACUGUUAAAUCUUGAGGCUCAACUUCAAAAUCGCAGCUGAAACUAUUAGACUAGAGUAUAGUAGAGGUAAAGGGAAUUUCCAGUGUAGCGGUGAAAUGCGUAGA